RNAcentral lists this transfer RNA (68 nucleotides) under Odontomantis sp. JZ-2017. Its description in RNAcentral is "tRNA-Met". Lineage: Eukaryota; Metazoa; Arthropoda; Insecta; Mantodea; Hymenopodidae. The record is from RNAcentral.
AGAAAAGUAAGCUAAGUUUAAGCUAAUGGGUUCAUAUCCCAAAUAUAGAGUCUAAUCUCUCUUUUCUA